Molecule: long non-coding RNA, 826 nt
Organism: Sitodiplosis mosellana (orange wheat blossom midge)
Lineage: Eukaryota; Metazoa; Arthropoda; Insecta; Diptera; Cecidomyiidae
Exons: 4
Source: RefSeq, a predicted model, not a curated record
GAACGAUUAAUUUGAAGAAAAAAAUGAAACGAUUCGGAAGAACAUCUAAACUGAUGAGAAAAGUUUGACAGCAAACAAUUUGGUUAUGUCGGUUUAAAUGUUCUUUCGAUUCUUUGAAGAUUUUUUAUUUUUAUUUGGCUGCAAUCAAAACAAAAAAAAGUAUUCUAUUCGUUCCGAGGGAUUCCUUUUGCUAAGCCACCAAUCAACGAUCUUCGAUUCAAAGCACCUGAAAAGAAUAAUCGAUGGACUGAAACAAUUGAUGCGUUCGAUUUUGGGAAUGAUUGUAUUCAAAAGAAUUCACCAACAUUCGACCCCGUAGCUAUAGGUUCAGAAGACUGCUUAUACAUUAAUGUAUACUUUCCCGGCGAUUGCAAAAGCAUCAAUUCAAAGACAAAACUACCAGUCAUGAUCAGUAUUUAUGGCGGAGGAUUUAUUGUUGGUUCAUCAAGGUUCUAUGGCCCUGACUUCUUGAUCGAAACAAAUGUUAUAGUCGUACGUAAACGAAUGAUACAAAUCAUAUUGCUUGAAUUGACAGUUCUUUCUUUCUCAGGUAACUUUCAACUAUCGGCUUGUCAUUUUCGGCUCAUUAUCCUUGGACUUGCCUGAAUAUUCAGGGAAUAUGGGUAUGAAAGAUCAGAGACUUGCAUUAAGAUGGGUUUAUGAGAAUACUGAACACUUUGGCGGAGAUAAAAAUAAAAUCACUCUUGCUGGACAUAGUGCCGGAGCGAUGUCCGUCGGCUUGCACGUGAUUAAUUCGCAGUCCAAUUUUUUUGAUUCCAAAAAGCGAUUUUGAUGAGCGGGUCAGCGCUCAAUCCAGUUAUUCCAC